RNAcentral lists this ribosomal RNA (845 nucleotides) under uncultured bacterium. Its description in RNAcentral is "bacterial SSU rRNA". It matches the Rfam family "Bacterial small subunit ribosomal RNA", at positions 51 to 886 of the family's 1533-position model. The record is from RNAcentral.
ACACAUGCAAGUCGAGGGGAAACGACAUCGAAAGCUUGCUUUUGAUGGGCGUCGACCGGCGCACGGGUGAGUAACGCGUAUCCAACCUGCCCACCACUUGGGGAUAACCUUGCGAAAGUAAGACUAAUACCCAAUGACGUCUCUAGAAGACAUCUGAAAGAGAUUAAAGAUUUAUCGGUGAUGGAUGGGGAUGCGUCUGAUUAGCUUGUUGGCGGGGUAACGGCCCACCAAGGCGACGAUCAGUAGGGGUUCUGAGAGGAAGGUCCCCCACAUUGGAACUGAGACACGGUCCAAACUCCUACGGGAGGCAGCAGUGAGGAAUAUUGGUCAAUGGACGAGAGUCUGAACCAGCCAAGUAGCGUGCAGGAAGACGGCCCUAUGGGUUGUAAACUGCUUUUAUAAGGGAAUAAAGUGAGAGUCGUGACUCUUUUUGCAUGUACCUUAUGAAUAAGGACCGGCUAAUUCCGUGCCAGCAGCCGCGGUAAUACGGAAGGUCCGGGCGUUACCCGGAUUUAUUGGGUUUAAAGGGAGCGUAGGCCGGAGAUUAAGCGUGUUGUGAAAUGUAGAUGCUCAACAUCUGAACUGCAGCGCGAACUGGUUUCCUUGAGUACGCACAAAGUGGGCGGAAUUCGUGGUGUAGCGGUGAAAUGCUUAGAUAUCACGAAGAACUCCGAUUGCGAAGGCAGCUCACUGGAGCGCAACUGACGCUGAAGCUCGAAAGUGCGGGUAUCGAACAGGAUUAGAUACCCUGGUAGUCCGCACGGUAAACGAUGGAUGCCCGCUGUUGGUCUGAAUAGGUCAGCGGCCAAGCGAAAGCAUUAAGCAUCCCACCUGGGGAGUACGCC